This 29-nucleotide non-coding RNA is filed under the name Rattus norvegicus (Norway rat). Lineage: Eukaryota; Metazoa; Chordata; Mammalia; Rodentia; Muridae. The record is from RNAcentral.
UCCUAGGAGCUGGACCAUCCUCCGUGGCC